AGUGAACGCUGGCGGCAGGCCUAACACAUGCAAGUCGAGCGGCAGCGCGGGGGCAACCCUGGCGGCGAGCGGCGGACGGGUGAGGAAUUCGUCGGAAUCUGCCUUUUUGUGGGGGAUAACGUAGGGAAACUUAUGCUAAUACCGCAUACGUCCUACGGGAGAAAGUGGGGGACCGCAAGGCCUCACGCAGAAAGAUGAGCCGACGACCGAUUAGCUAGUUGGUGGGGUAAAGGCCCACCAAGGCGACGAUCGGUAGCUGGUCUGAGAGGAUGAUCAGCCACACUGGAACUGAGACACGGCCCAGACUCCUACGGGAGGCAGCAGUGGGGAAUAUUGGACAAUGGGCGCAAGCCUGAUCCAGCCAUGCCGCGUGUGUGAAGAAGGCCUUCGGGUUGUAAAGCACUUUUGUCCGGAAAGAAAUCCCUGAAGCUAAUACCUUCGGGGGAUGACGGUACCGGAAGAAUAAGCACCGGCUAACUUCGUG
This 484-nucleotide ribosomal RNA is filed under the name uncultured bacterium. RNAcentral describes it as "partial 16S ribosomal RNA". It matches the Rfam family "Bacterial small subunit ribosomal RNA", at positions 29 to 507 of the family's 1533-position model. The record is from RNAcentral.